AUUGAACGCUGGCGGCAGGCCUAACACAUGCAAGUCGAACGCGUGGCGGACGGGUGAGUCAUGUCUGGGAAACUGCCUGAUGGAGGGGGAUAACUCCUGGAAACGGUAGCUAAUACCGCAUACCAUCGGAUUUGCCCAGAUGGGAUUAGCUAGUAGGUGGGGUAAAGGCUCACCUAGGCCACGAUCCCUAGCUGGUCUGAGAGGAUGACCAGCCACACGGGAACUGAGACACGGUCCAGACUCCUACGGGAGGCAGCAGUGGGGAAUAGUGCACAAUGGGCGAAAGCCUGAUGCAGCAAUGCCGCGUGUAUGAAGAAGGCCUUCGGGUUGUAAAGUACUUUCAGCGGGGAGGCGUUACCCGCAGAAGAAGCACCGGCUAACUCCGUGCCAGCAGCCGCGGUAAUUC
Molecule: ribosomal RNA, 406 nt
Filed under: uncultured bacterium
Lineage: Bacteria
Description: partial 16S ribosomal RNA
Rfam family: Bacterial small subunit ribosomal RNA
Source: RNAcentral